Molecule: unclassified non-coding RNA, 348 nt
Filed under: soil metagenome
Description: partial contains 5.8S ribosomal RNA, internal transcribed spacer 2, and large subunit ribosomal RNA
Rfam family: 5.8S ribosomal RNA (bases 2-120)
Source: RNAcentral
UAUGAAGAACGCAGCGAAAUGCGAAAAGUAAUGUGAAUUGCAGAAUUCAGUGAACCAUCGAAUCUUUGAACGCACAUUGCGCCCGCUGGAACUCCGGCGGGCACGCCUGUCCGAGCGUCAUUUCAACCCUCAGGCCCCCCUUCGCGGGCGGGCCUGGUGUUGGGGCCCGGCCGCUACCCUGCGGCCGUCCCCUAAAUCCAGUGGCGGCCUCGCCGUGAUCCCUUGCGUAGUAAUGCACCUCGCACCGGAGAGCGCCGUGGCCACGCCGUAAAACCCCCAAUUUUCAAUGGUUGACCUCGGAUCAGGUGGGAAUACCCGCUGAACUUAAGCAUAUCAAUAAGCGGAGGA